Molecule: ribosomal RNA, 963 nt
Filed under: uncultured organism
Description: bacterial SSU rRNA
Rfam family: Bacterial small subunit ribosomal RNA
Source: RNAcentral
CUCUGACUGGAGGAUAGCCCGAAGAAAUUCGGAUUAAUACUCCAUAAUACUAUGGACAGGCAUCUGUUCAUGGUUAAAGCCCCGGCGGUCAGAGAUGGGCAUGCGUGACAUUAGCUUGUUGGUGAGGUAACAGCUCACCAAGGCUACGAUGUCUAGGGGGUCUGAGAGGAUGGUCCCCCACACUGGUACUGAGACACGGACCAGACUCCUACGGGAGGCAGCAGUGAGGAAUAUUGGUCAAUGGGCGAAAGCCUGAACCAGCCAUGCCGCGUGAAGGAUGACAGCCCUAUGGGUUGUAAACUUCUUUUGUACGGGAAGAAACGCUUCUACGUGUAGAGGUUUGACGGUACCGUACGAAUAAGCAUCGGCUAACUCCGUGCCAGCAGCCGCGGUAAUACGGAGGAUGCAAGCGUUAUCCGGAUUUAUUGGGUUUAAAGGGUACGUAGGCGGGAGCUUAAGUCAGUGGUGAAAUCCUGCAGCUUAACUGUAGAACUGUCAUUGAUACUGGGCUUCUUGAAUGUAGUUGAGGUAGGCGGAAUGUGUAAUGUAGCGGUGAAAUGCUUAGAUAUUACACAGAACACCGAUUGCGAAGGCAGCUUACUAAACUACGAUUGACGCUGAGGUACGAAAGCGUGGGGAGCGAACAGGAUUAGAUACCCUGGUAGUCCACGCUGUAAACGAUGAUCACUCGUUGUUGGCAAUACACCGUCAGCGACUGAGCGAAAGCAUUAAGUGAUCCACCUGGGGAGUACGACCGCAAGGUUGAAACUCAAAGGAAUUGACGGGGGCCCGCACAAGCGGAGGAACAUGUGGUUUAAUUCGAUGAUACGCGAGGAACCUUACCUGGGCUUAAAUGUAGAACGACGGACCGGGAAACUGGUCUUUCUUCGGACGGUCUGCAAGGUGCUGCAUGGCAGUCGUCAGCUCGUGCCGUGAGGUGUCGGGUUAAGUCCCAUAACGAGC